GAGAGGUGCUUGCACCUCUUGAGAGCGGCGGACGGGUGAGUAAUGCCUAGGAAUCUGCCUGGUAGUGGGGGAUAACGCUCGGAAACGGACGCUAAUACCGCAUACGUCCUACGGGAGAAAGCAGGGGACCUUCGGGCCUUGCGCUAUCAGAUGAGCCUAGGUCGGAUUAGCUAGUUGGUGAGGUAAUGGCUCACCAAGGCGACGAUCCGUAACUGGUCUGAGAGGAUGAUCAGUCACACUGGAACUGAGACACGGUCCAGACUCCUACGGGAGGCAGCAGUGGGGAAUAUUGGACAAUGGGCGAAAGCCUGAUCCAGCCAUGCCGCGUGUGUGAAGAAGGUCUUCGGAUUGUAAAGCACUUUAAGUUGGGAGGAAGGGCAUUAACCUAAUACGUUAGUGUUUUGACGUUACCGACAGAAUAAGCACCGGCUAACUCUGUGCCAGCAGCCGCGGUAAUACAGAGGGUGCAAGCGUUAAUCGGAAUUACUGGGCGUAAAGCGCGCGUAGGUGGUUCGUUAAGUUGGAUGUGAAAG
This 533-nucleotide ribosomal RNA is filed under the name Pseudomonas sp. T5(2015). Its description in RNAcentral is "bacterial SSU rRNA". It matches the Rfam family "Bacterial small subunit ribosomal RNA", at positions 71 to 600 of the family's 1533-position model. The record is from RNAcentral. Lineage: Bacteria; Pseudomonadati; Pseudomonadota; Gammaproteobacteria; Pseudomonadales; Pseudomonadaceae.